UGCUACAAGCCUUACAUCUGUGCUGUGUCUGAAUUGCAAAUUGAUGUUCUCAAGACAGAUUUUAGGAACACUAGAGGGAAGCAGAAACUUCUGAAGAUCCAUAAUGCAAAUUCUUAAGUUUGACGAAGACUGUGAUGAAGAUUGAUUAUACCAUUUCUCAAGAGCUAAAUGCAACCUUUGUCUAUCUUUGAAUCAGAUAUUGUUUUCCCACUGAAUGAAAUGCUUUUUCUUAUCUACAGAUACCAGCCUUUUCCAGGAAGCAGAAAUAAUACCAAAUGGUAUAUAAGACCAUUCCAUACAAACAAAAAAUACUUGAACCAAGAGCUCUGAUGGUUUCUUUACAGUCUUUUCAUCAACUAUUCAAGCGUCUGAAGAAAUCUUUUCACCGCUGUGACCAACAGAACCCCAC
Molecule: long non-coding RNA, 409 nt
Filed under: Coturnix japonica (Japanese quail)
Lineage: Eukaryota; Metazoa; Chordata; Aves; Galliformes; Phasianidae
Description: lncRNA (ENSCJPG00005009020.1)
Source: RNAcentral